This 1828-nucleotide long non-coding RNA is filed under the name Zonotrichia albicollis (white-throated sparrow). RNAcentral's name for it is "lncRNA (ENSZALG00000008558.1)". The record is from RNAcentral. Lineage: Eukaryota; Metazoa; Chordata; Aves; Passeriformes; Passerellidae.
AGCCGCUGAAUAAUCAAUUCUCGCCUUGCUGGGGACAUUAAGAACGAGGAGCGGUGUUGGGAGCGGCAGCCGAUCCCGGCGGGCUCACCGCUGUGGGAUCCUCGGAUCUCCUCGCUGGCUGCAGCAUUUCCAUCACCUGCCACAAACUGCUGCAAGAAACCGGCGGGUCUGGGCUCUGCCAGCCCCUUCCAGCGCAGGACAGGAGCUCUAGGACAGACACAGAACAGGACCAGAGCCACGACCCCGAGACAAGGAGCCUUUCUUCCCUUGACAGGCUCCGGCUGCCCGAGACAAAAUAUCCGGAGCUGGGAUUCACUGGCUCUCUUUGCUGCCCAGGAGCAUGAGGGGCUGCAGAAGGAGGUGGCAGCAGCUCAGUGGUCCCCGUCAGCCCCCACACACCCCAACUGUGCCCAACACCUCUGGACACUGCUCUGCUGGGAUCACAGGUUGGUCUGCCCCUCCCUGGUGCCAGGAGCUGGCACUGCCAUGCCUGUCCCUUGUCCCCUGCUGGACCCCUCUGAGGACAUUUCCUUUCCUGAGGGCAGGCCCCACACCCUUUCCCUUGGUGAAUUUUUGGGAGAUGAGGCAGGCUGUGUCCCUUCCCUUGCCUGGCGCCUCUGUGCCCCAUCUUCCACCCUGGCACAGCCUGGCUGCAGUCACACACAGCCACAGUGGUGGGGUGCAUCCCACCCCUCCUGUCCCACCUCCAGCUCCCAGGGAAGCAGGUCAGGCUUGAGGAACCAUCCCCAAACCCUUCUGACCAUCCCUGGGAGCAGCUCUGCUGACCCCAGCACAGACAGAAACCCUGUGUGGGGAACCCCAGGAUGAUUCCCAUGAGCCAGAGGGUCCCUGUGGGGAGAUCCUGGAGCAGCUCUGGUGACAUCCUGGUGUCCCACCAGAGCUGGGCUGCCUCCAGGCUGGGAGGGGCUGCCACUGGAGUUUGUGCAGCCAGGAAGCACCAGGGGAUCCCAGUGUUUAGUGCUGGGAAAUAGCAAUUACUCAUCACCCACAGCCUGGCUGCGACAGGGAGCGAUUCCAGCACUAAACCCGCUCCACGCUGGAUUUAAAGAGAGGAGAAAAGCAAAAUCCUCUUAACUUUGUGACCUGUAAAAUGCCCAGUGUGGGAACGAGGAGCUGGGCAUGCGCCCACUGAGGGCUGGGCUGGCCGUGGGCACGGCAGCUGCUCUGUGUCACCACUGUCACCACUGGGCUGGCUGGUGCCACCGGGAGGGGACAGAGCAGGGCACAGCCAGCAACCAGCACCAGGACUGCCUUGGGACACAAGGACAGCAGGACAAGGGGCCAAGCUGAGCGUGGAGCAGCCAAGCUCCCACCCCGCAUGGAGAAAAGGGAGAAACAAAGACAAGGGGCACUGAGAGGUUUGGAGAAGUGGGAAGCAGGAUCUGGGGGGAGGCAGGAUCAGAAGUGAAAGGAGCAAAGGAAACUGGAGGGACUUCAAAGGAACGCUGCAAGCAGCACACACAGGAGCCAUCCCAAUAGGAAACGGAGCAGGAACCAGCCUGGCUGCAUCACAAGCUGCUCACUGACCCCAGGCUCGAGAAAAAACGCUUAUGGGAAGUGGGAACUAGGUCAGAUUACUAAGGGCACUUACAAGGGGAGCAUAAGCAUGUGGGGAGACAUCAGAAAGGCCAGAUUGAGAUGGAAAUGGGGAGGAAUCAUUAAGGAGAAGAAGAAAAGGCUCCAUCAGCAGGAGGAGAAUGAGCAGGGGAGCGUUGGUCUGGACCCAGGGAAGGAGGAAGGCAGCUGGCAGAGGAGGCUGGGAACUCAACGGGAUCACUGGCUUGUUUUAAAACCUUAAAUCCCAGCC